UGGACUUUCAGUGUGUAAAGAGGCAUUUGAGUUGUAACAUGAAAGAACUCAUAGAUUGAAACAAGCACAGCACACUGCAGAGACAGUUACUUGGAGAUUCCAAUCCAGCUGGGGCAUGUAACCUACAAUGUGAUUCAUUUUGCAAGUCACUAAACUGCUUGGAGCCUCAACUUUCUCACCUGCAAAAUGGGGCUGAAUGAAGUCUUGAGGCUCAAUGCCUCUGAGGCUCCCAGUGUUCUUGUCUCAAUCCACUGGUGAGGAGUGCUGCCAAGAAAGCAGAUGAGAACACAUUUGUGGACAGAUUCUGUGUACAAGCUGGGGAUCAAGGAGGCAUGCUGCUAUCAGGAAGUUUAGGAUAUGGUCCCCCAGGCCUAUUCCUUCCUUCAUUCAUUGUCUCUUUAUUAAAAAGGAACUGUCUGCAGCAACUAA
This is a non-coding RNA of Heterocephalus glaber (naked mole-rat), 429 nucleotides long. The record is from RefSeq and is a predicted model, not a curated record. NCBI's taxonomy places the organism in Eukaryota, Metazoa, Chordata, Mammalia, Rodentia, Bathyergidae.